Mirounga angustirostris (Northern elephant seal) is the source of this 3473-nucleotide long non-coding RNA. RefSeq lists it as uncharacterized. The transcript is spliced from 5 exons. NCBI's taxonomy places the organism in Eukaryota, Metazoa, Chordata, Mammalia, Carnivora, Phocidae. The record is from RefSeq and is a predicted model, not a curated record.
UUUCCGCCAAUGGGAAAGCGCGGACGCCGCGGCGUUCCGGUGUGAGGACUUCCGCGCGGAGUUGAAAAGAGCCAGUGUGAGCAGCACGGGAGUUCUGACCCGCUCCGUUUCCGACCUGGGCCGGUUCACCCCGUCUUAGGCAACCUGGUGGUCCCCCGCUCCCGGGAGGUCACCAUAUUGAUGCCGAACUUAGUGCGGACACCCGAUCGGCAUAGCGCAUUACAGCCCAGAACUCUCCGUCUGCGUUCACUCUUCUCUGCCUGUUUUCUAGUUGCGGAGGUUGGUGUGGCGCGGCGUCAGGUUGGGAGGAAGAGAGAGACACAGCGAGGGAGGGAACACAAGCAUGGGGAGAGGGAGAAGCAGGCUUCCUGCUGAGCAGGGAGCCCGAUGCGGGGCUCCAUCCCAGGACCCUAGGACCAUGACCUGAGCUGAAGGCAGAUGCUUAACGACUGAGCCACCCAGGCGCCCCAUGUCUAUUGUAUUUCAACUUGUUCGAUUUCUUUGGUGGCUCGAGCACUCAGCUGUCCUGCAGACUGGCAGAGCAAAAGGCAGCAGUUCAAGCCAUCUGUCCCAGAACGAGACAUCUGGUCACAGGUCUGUGCCUCUGGUCGGGGCUUUUUGGAAGUCAUCUGGCUCCCCAUCCAACGGAGCUGUGAUAAACCAGAGGCUGUCAAGUGCUGGUAUGGAUCUCUAACAAGCAUUUUACAUCCCAAACUCCAUCUCAGCAUCAACUCUUGAGAACCUGACCUUCUGACAGUUGGUACAAGAGGUGGAUGAGAAAGCUGGUGAUAAGAUGGGGUUUUGGAACUGGAUCACCACCCAUCUUACCACGAGGACCCCAUCACUGGAGGAUCUCUUGCUGGAAGCCUCAUGACCUGCCUAGCUGUCCUUCUGAUCCUGUAGCAGAAGUCUAUGAGGCACUAAGUUGAAUCUUACGUGAACAGACCCUUCAGAAAGAGGAUACUCAAAUGCUCAUAGGAAAAUGUAUUCAUGUUCACUAGUCAUAAGGCAUAUGUGGAUUAAAGCCAAAAUGAGAAACUACUACAUACCCACUGGAAUGAUUAAAAUUAAAAGAACUGACAAUACCAAGCGUUUACAAGAAAGUAGAGAAAGUGGGACUCAUAUAUUUCUGCUGGGAGUGUAAAUUGGUACAACUACUUGGGACUUCUGUUUGGCAACAUAUAUGAAGCUGAACACUUAUCCUAUAUCCCGGCAGUUCUACUCCUAAUAUAUAAGAGAAAUGCAUGCAUAUGCUCACCAAAAGACAUGCAUAAGAAUAUCCACUGCAGCACCAUUCCUAAUAGCUCUGACUGGGAAACACCCCAAAGAGUAGAAUUAAUAAACACAUUGUAUUACAGCCAAACCAUCUAUACUACAAAGCAAUGCAGAUGACGGACUUACCACUGUUUACAACAACCGGGGAAAAUCUCAUUAACAUAAUGCUGAAUGAAAGAAGCCAGACACAAAAGACUAUUUUCAGUAUGAUUCCAUUUAGAAGAAGUUCAAGACAGGCAAAACCUAAUUUUUGGUGUUAGAAGUCAAGAUAAUGGUUAUUUUUGGAGAAAGAGGUGGGCAAUGACUGGAAAGGAACAUGCGAGGUGCUCCCAAGUGUGGUGAAUGUUCAGAUUUUUGAUCUGGGUGGUGAUUAUACCGAUGUGUGCAACUUAGUGAAAAUUCAUCAAGUUGUACAAUUAUAAUUUGUAUACUUUUCUUGGCUAGGCUCACCGACAUGUCUAGAGGUUCAUCUGACACUGAGCCACCUGGGCUGGCCUCUGCUAGGGCAAUUCAGGAGAAUCAGCUCUGCAAUGUGUGCCUGUCAUCCACCAUGGGCCAGCCAGGCAUGGUCUCACGGUGAUGGCAGAGAGGCACAAAGGGUAGUUCCCGAUGUUCAAGUCCUUAUCAAGCCAUCAUAGCUGCUAAUAUUCCACUGGCCAAAGCAAGUCAAAUGGUGGAAACCAGAAUCAAGGGGCCGGCAGGUUACUCUUCUCAUGGUAGGCAGGCACUGAUUGCACAGUUAUGUGGUAAAGGGCAUGACUACAGAGAGGGUGAUGACCACAAUCUCCCACAGUGUGGGAAUAAGAAACCUGAAGCUAAUGACAAAACAGUGAAACGCAUACAUAAUUGAGAAGUGCAGGGUGCUUUAAGGGCACAGAAAAGGGAACAUUUCAUGUUUUAUCUCGUACUCAAAUUAUUCAUGAAAAAAUUUAUGCAUGGACAUAUCCCUUCCAGACUAUGAACUUUUUGUAUGUGCUUCAUAUUCACAUUUUCCCCCAGCUGCUGGCAUAAUGCCUUGCAUAAAAUAGGCACUUGAACAUUUGUGAAAUUAAUGUUCAGCCAUAAAGGUAGUCCUAUUUAUUUCAGGCUCCAGAGGAAGGAAGAGACCCACAUACAUAGCAAUACCUAUCUUUAUAUUUUAUAGUCAUUUCAGUGAGCUCAUAAUCUCUAUUCAUAGAAUAGUUUCCUGUCAAGUGAAGGGUUGGAGGAGUUCCAGCCCAGUGAUUGAUGGGUGGGAUCAUUCAAAUUUUGAUGUGUUCCCUUUUUUGGAUGGGUGUAUGGUGAUGGGGAUCUUCACCAUUUUAAAAAAUUGUGAUAAAAUAGGGGCACCUGGGUAGCACAGUUGGUUAAGUGUCUGACUCUUGGUUUUGGCUCAGGUCGUGAUCUCAGGGUUGUGGGAUCAGCCCCACUUUGGACUCCGCACUCAGCAAAGAGUCUGCUUGGGAUUCUCUCUCCCUUUCCCUCUGCCCCUCCCCACCAAGCAUGCACACCCUCCCCCUCUCUCCCUCUCAAAUAAAUAAAUAAAUCUUUUUUAAAAUUGUGGUAAAAUAUAUAUAACAUGAAAUUUACCAUCUUAACUUUUUUUAAAGAUUUUAUUUAUUCAUUUUAGAGAGAGAGUAUGUGUGCACGUGGAGGGGGAAGAAGGGGCAGAGGGAGACAGAGAAAGAGUCUCAAGCAGACUCCCAUGCUGAGUGUGGAACCUGGAACCCGAAAUUACAACCUGAGCCAGAAUCAAGAGUUGGACACCUAACCGACUGCACCACCCAGGAGCCCCAUCUUAACUUCUUUUUAAGGGUACAGUUCAGUGGCAUUAAGUACAUUCAUAUUAUUGUGCAACCACCACCACCAUCCAUCUCUAGACUGUUACCUUCCCAAACUGAAACUCUAUACCCAUUAAACAAUAACUCUCCAUUCUCCCUGCCCCCCAGCCCCCCCAGCCCCUGGCAACCACCAUUUUACUUUUUCUCUAUAUGAAUGUGACUGUUUUAGGUACCUCAUGUAAGUGGAAUCAUACAGUCUUUUUGUGACUGGAUUAUUUCACUGGCAUAAUGUCCUCAAGAUUCAUCCAUGUUAUGGUAUAUGUCAGAAUUUCCUUCUUUUUAUUUGAGAAACAAGGCAGAGGAUCAUAGGGGAAGGGAGGGGAAAAUGAAACACGACGAAACCAGAGAGGGAGAUAAACCAUAAGAGACUCUUAAUCU